UGAUAUUUAUCCCUAUGAUGUUCAUUAAUUUAUAUCAUUUAUUUCUGUUACAGAGUCUGUCAGUGCUGUUUAAUGAAGUUGCAUUCAAAAACUACAACCAUGCUUCCUUUCUGCAUCUUGAGAAACUGACAUUGGAGCAGACGUCUUCCUUGACCUUAUGAUCCUGAUAUAAGGUCUCACAAGCCUGCUCAUGUGUAAUCUUAGGAUAAAGCACGGAAGAAAUGCUUCUCCCCAACAUCUGGGAAUGCAUCAUCGAAGAAAUGCUCACCAUUCCUAACCUGUGGUAUGCUUGAUACCUCUGUGACUGUUUUCUACCUGGGAAUUCCACAUCAAUGACAGAAGCAUCAGCAACUCACUGCAAAGGAAACAUGGGUCCUUCUGUUUUUACAGACAUAUGUGUCUCAUGAAGAGAUUCAGCUCUGAGAGAUACUUGUGUUAAGGAUUCUGAUGUAGGUGUCACAAACCUGCUCAUGGUAACCUCAGACUAAAGCACAGAAGAAAUGCUUCUCCCCAAACGCUGGGAAGAAUUCGUUGAAGACGUGCUCACUAUACCUAACUUGUGUUAGUAUAAAACUUGUUUUUUUUUGUAACUCUUGUUUCCUAGGAUUAAUUUUUUCAUGCAACAUUCAAGUUUUCAUGUAUUAACAUGUUGGCUAAACAUAUUUGUGUUUGUCUUACUAUUUCUGUAGAAAUAAUAUGAUAUUCUUUUCAACAAGACAUGCUUUAUAUUUCUUGCCAUAGAAUAACCUACUGCUCAUUUACUCUAGCAAUUGCCCUGAGGGCAAUGUCUGGUAAAUAUUCUUUGAUGUGGUAUCCACUAGUACCUUUCCUUUUUGACUCUUGAUAAAGUACAGAACCUUUA
Mesocricetus auratus (golden hamster) is the source of this 862-nucleotide long non-coding RNA. RefSeq lists it as uncharacterized. The transcript has 4 exons. The record is from RefSeq and is a predicted model, not a curated record. Lineage: Eukaryota; Metazoa; Chordata; Mammalia; Rodentia; Cricetidae.